Molecule: ribosomal RNA, 500 nt
Filed under: uncultured bacterium
Lineage: Bacteria
Description: partial 16S ribosomal RNA
Rfam family: Bacterial small subunit ribosomal RNA
Source: RNAcentral
AUUGAACGCUGGCGGCAUGCCUUACACAUGCAAGUCGAACGGCAGCACGGGAGCAAUCCUGGUGGCGAGUGGCGAACGGGUGAGUAAUAUAUCGGAACGUGCCCAGUCGUGGGGGAUAACGCAGCGAAAGCUGUGCUAAUACCGCAUACGAUCUAAGGAUGAAAGCGGGGGAUCGCAAGACCUCGCGCGAUUGGAGCGGCCGAUAUCAGAUUAGCUAGUUGGUGGGGUAAAGGCCCACCAAGGCGACGAUCUGUAGCUGGUCUGAGAGGACGACCAGCCACACUGGAACUGGGACACGGUCCAGACUCCUACGGGGGGCAGCAGUGGGGAAUUUUGGACAAUGGGCACAAGCCUGAUCCAGCAAUGCCGCGUGCAGGAUGAAGGCCUUCGGGUUGUAAACUGCUUUUGUACGGAACGAAACGGCCCUUUCUAAUACAGGGGGCUAAUGACGGUACCGUAAGAAUAAGCACCGGCUAACUACGUGCCAGCCGCCGCCGUAA